RNAcentral lists this ribosomal RNA (497 nucleotides) under uncultured bacterium. Its description in RNAcentral is "partial 16S ribosomal RNA". It matches the Rfam family "Bacterial small subunit ribosomal RNA", at positions 28 to 507 of the family's 1533-position model. The record is from RNAcentral.
GAUGAACGCUGGCGGCGUGCCUAAUACAUGCAAGUCGAGCGAACGGACGAGAAGCUUGCUUCUCUGAUGUUAGCGGCGGACGGGUGAGUAACACGUGGAUAACCUACCUAUAAGACUGGGAUAACUUCGGGAAACCGUAGCUAAUACCGGAUAAUAUUUUGAACCGCAUGGUUCAAAAGUGAAAGACGGUCUUGCUGUCACUUAUAGAUGGAUCCGCGCUGCAUUAGCUAGUUGGUAAGGUAACGGCUUACCAAGGCAACGAUGCAUAGCCGACCUGAGAGGGUGAUCGGCCACACUGGAACUGAGACACGGACCAGACUCCUACGGGAGGCAGCAGUAGGGAAUCUUCCGCAAUGGGCGAAAGCCUGACGGAGCAACGCCGCGUGAGUGAUGAAGGUCUUCGGAUCGUAAAACUCUGUUAUUAGGGAAGAACAUAUGUGUAAGUAACUGUGCACAUCUUGACGGUACCUAAUCAGAAAGUCACGGCUAACUACGUG